RNA transcript from Hemicordylus capensis (graceful crag lizard), 1719 nucleotides. RefSeq lists it as uncharacterized. Lineage: Eukaryota; Metazoa; Chordata; Lepidosauria; Squamata; Cordylidae. The transcript is spliced from 9 exons. The record is from RefSeq and is a predicted model, not a curated record.
AGAUGCAAAGCGAGGAAACCGAUAUAGCUGGGUAGUGCCGCGCAUGUUUGUUGCGGGGUAGGAGGUGAAUGAGGCGAGUGGAUGGUAUCUCUCCUGCUGAGGUGGAGACGGCUCAGUAUGAGUACCUGGGAGCCCGGGAGGGCGCUGAGGGUGCCCACCAUCCCCCUUUCCAAUGGUUUGAACAUCCCCCUGUUGGGGCUGGGAACAUCUCAUCAAGGUGGCUACUCCCAUGAUGCUGUGGUAUAUGCACUACAAAAAUGUGGCAUUCAUCAUAUCGACACAGCAAAGAGAUAUGGCUGUGAAUCGCUUCUGCAGAAGGCUAUCAAGGAGAGUGGUGUGAAGCGGGAGGACCUCUGGAUAACUACCAAACUCUGGCAUACUGAUUAUGGCUACGAAAAGACAAAACAAGCCUGCUUAGAGUCCUGCAAGAGACUUGGUGUUGAAUAUCUAGAUCUUUAUUUAGUGCAUUGGCCUGAUGCCCAGGUCCCUGGUAAAAGCAACCGAGAAGUCAGAGCAGAAACCUGGCGAGCCAUGGAGGAGCUCUACGAGAGAGGAUUAUGUCGGUCUAUUGGAGUAAGCAACUUUCUCAUUGAUCAUUUGGAGCAACUAAAGGAAGACUGCCAGGUAACCCCACAUGUUAAUCAGGUUGAAUACCAUCCUUUCCAGAGGCCUCAAGAAUUAGUGGAUUACUGUCGAAGCAGGAAUAUUGUUUUCGAAGGCUACUGCCCAUUAGCUAAAGGUGAAGCCCUUACUCAUACUAACAUAAUUCAGCUUGCAAAGAAAUAUGACAGAACUCCUGCACAGAUCUGUAUCCGCUGGAGCAUACAGAACGGCAUUGUCACUAUUCCAAAAUCUACAAAGCCAGAAAGAGUCCAGGAAAACUGUCAGGUCUUUGAUUUUUCACUAGCAGAAGAUGAUGUUGCAAUUCUAAAUAGAAUGCAUGAUGGGAGACAUGUUUCCUGGGAUCCAACCCCAAUUGCUUAAAUGCCAAGAGGAUACUGAGCAUAUUCCUGCACCUGAACCAAGUUUUUCAGGGACAGAGGCUGAAGAACUGAGUCAAAUAGAGGUGAUGAGAGAGGAUGUUCAACUCUGUUAGUCUGGAAGCAUAGUGUACAAAAGUCCUAUUUUGUGGAAAGGUCUUUGAUUUCAGUCUAGAAAAAGAAGAUAUGGAAUGCUUGGACUCCAUGAACAUCAACAGAAAGUUGAUUCACCUUACCUACCCAUUAUGGAAAGGAUAGUCUUUGAUUGUUCUAAAUUGCAGAAGCUCCAAAUAUGAUGAUCUCUGGACUGCCUGUAAUCUGUCUCUGCUUUUCUGCUAAAUGCAUUAAGGACUUCUGCAAAUGGCACAUGGUAUUGUUGAAUACUUCAGACACAACCCUAUCUUUCUUUUAUUGACAAAUCAUUUUGAGUAAUCCAGUGCUCCCAUUUUCCAGUCUCACUAAAAUAUUGUUUUGGGAAAUUAUGAGUCAUUCUUCAGCCCAACUGGACCUGAUCAUAAAUGACAUUACUGAAGACAACUACAGUCCUGUGAUUCUGGCCAUAUGUGAAGCAGAUGGAGUUUACCAAUGGAUGUUGGUGGAAAUUAGUUGGUCUGGUUAAUUUAAAAUCUUGUCUACACACCAGUUUUGCUUGAGAAUAACUAAAUCAGCUUAGAAUCAGAUGCUGCUAUUAAAUCAUUGCAAUCCAAUUUUACUGGCAGUAUAAAUAUUUAAACCAGUA